CCACAGUGUGUUACUCCAUCUCAGCGCUCAGCAACAUCCUAUCGGCCCUUUCCAGCUGUUAAAAUGAAGUAUGUCGACCAUGACCAAUGGACACACCUGCUGCCUACUGUUCCAGAUGUAAGGAUGCAGGUUCGGGACCGGCGUCAUUGUAUACGUCAGCAUGCUGCCAAAGGACUGUUUGUUGACAUACAGCAACGAAUUCUCAGUGGGGGUAGGAUGGAACGCAUCUUUGACACAUACGUCCUAUGUUACCCUUCGGGCUACCGCCAGAACGUCAAGCCUGUCCAUGAGCCAGCACCCAAGUCUGUGGCUGAGAAGAAAUCUCUACACAUCAAAAAGCUAAGUGGUGCUGGUUCACGUCAUGUGGGUCGUAGGCCUCUGGUAGUAGUUGACAGGGUCAGAGAAGUUGUAGAACAGGAAGAUGUUAGGGACAAGGUAGUAAGGAGGAGAAAGAUGGGAAGCAUACACACCAGUGU
Anguilla anguilla (European eel) is the source of this 476-nucleotide long non-coding RNA. RefSeq lists it as uncharacterized. NCBI's taxonomy places the organism in Eukaryota, Metazoa, Chordata, Actinopteri, Anguilliformes, Anguillidae. The transcript has 4 exons. The record is from RefSeq and is a predicted model, not a curated record.